Molecule: ribosomal RNA, 504 nt
Filed under: uncultured Actinomycetales bacterium
Lineage: Bacteria; Bacillati; Actinomycetota; Actinomycetes; Actinomycetales
Description: partial 16S ribosomal RNA
Source: RNAcentral
CACGUAGUUAGCCGGCGCUUCUUCUGCAGGUACCGCCACUUGCGCUUCUUCCCUGCUGAAAGAGGUUUACAACCCGAAGGCCGUCAUCCCUCACGCGGCGUCGCUGCAUCAGGCUUGCGCCCAUUGUGCAAUAUUCCCCACUGCUGCCUCCCGUAGGAGUCUGGGCCGUGUCUCAGUCCCAGUGUGGCCGGUCGCCCUCUCAGGCCGGCUACCCGUCGUCGCCUUGGUGAGCCGUUACCUCACCAACAAGCUGAUAGGCCGCGGGCUCAUCCUGCACCGCCGGAGCUUUCCACACAGAGGAGAUGCCUCCCUGUGUCGUAUCCGGUAUUACGACCCCGUUUCAGGGCUUGGUCCCAGAGUGCAGGGCAGAUUCGCCCACGUGUUACUCACCCGUUCGCCACUAACUCCACCCCGAAGGGCCUUCAUCGUUCGACUUGCAUGUGUUAAGCACGCCGCCAGCGUUCGUCCUGACGCCGAGGACGUACAAACUCCUCUGACGACUAC